GUUCCGGUUACUCAUCAAGUAUAGAUGGAGUCGAAGAUGGCCAUCCUCUCUCAUCCGUCAGGACCCGACUCGUCACAGCGGUGGCUCCCCAGAACCAUCCAGAACCUCAGAUACAACAAGCAGUGUCACACAAUUCAAACAAGGAACCCCCACCCUCCCCCUCCCCUCCCUUUGCUGUUAUGUGUUCUAUCAUUCAUACGUGCUUUGAUGUGCACGCUGACAGGAGGCAGAUUGAAGCAAAGCUCUGGAGAGAUGCUGCACGGCUCACAGAGAGGAAGACAGCCCCUGUUGCUUGCUUGGUUUGCUGCUGUUUCUGCCUUUGACGCGGUGAUGGGGAUUUUCCUCUUUCUCUCCCUCUCCCUAGGCUGCUUCCUGCCUGCUGUGGAGUUAUACUGACACCUUCUGGCCAAAGAACAGGAAGGAACUGCAGCAUACAGGUACAGGGAGAUGUGGUCUGAGGCGUCCAUACAGAACUCACCACCGUCUCUGAUGUGAUUGUAGUCUACACCCAGAAGACAUUUUCACUGGGCUCACUUCAUUUUCUAAUGUGUGAAUCUGUUUUUCCACGUCCCCAGAAUUUUUAACCCUCUUGUCUUCAUAUUGUUUCCUUGUCUGCAAAAACAUAAAAUAAAAUUGCCCAAAUUUCAGAAAAUUUGCAAAACCUUCAGGAAGAAAAUUCUAAUAAUUCCUUCAAUGUUUGCCUUAAAUGUUUAAUUUAUAAAAAAUCCCCAAAAUUUGGGACAAGAUUCUUGUAAAUAUUUUCAAAAAAUGAGCAAAAAUCCUCCAAAAAAUCCUAAAAAUAUCUAAAGUGAUUACACAUGUAUCAGUAAAACUUCUAAUAUUUUCUUUAAGAACAUUCACAAAAAAAAAGCAACCAAAAUCCAGUGAAAUUCGCUGGAUUUUGGUUGAUUUUUUUGUGAAUGUUCUUAACAUUUCUUUUUUUUUUUUCCACCAAAAAAUGUUCAAAACGUGGACAUCAGAAGUUUCACUUUGAAAAUAUCUGUUUUUUCCACAUUUUCAAACUUCAAAAUGGGUCAAUUUGACCCGCAGGACGACACGAGGGUUAAAGAAGUCGGACGUCGGUUAUUUCUACACAAAGCUCCCUCUGACUAGAAUAGCUUCAGGUCAUCUUCACUUUACAGGAUAUGUGCAAUAACAGCAGAGAGAUAUUUGCAAUAUAAUCAUGUGUAAAUGUUAAUUAAUUACUCCUUGGUAGCUGCCUUGGUCCCCCAGUUUUUGUCUGUUAUGUGCGCUACGUGUUAUCGAUUGUUGUUUUUCUUUUUUGUAUGUCUUUGUUCAGUUAUAGUUUUUAUAUCAAGAUUAAUUUCUUUACCUCUGAUCGGCCAAUCGGACUCGAGAUGGAAAUUAGCUGCACGGCUACAAUCUCUCAUACUUACAUGGAAAUGUACAUUCAUAUGAACUGUCCCAUUUUUAAAAAGAAACUAAUUUUGCAUAUUUAGUUCAUUGGUGCUUCGAAUUACUGCAAAAUCAAACCGCUUAAGAUGCUGAAGCUUUCAUGAGUCGUGUUUGCUUUUCUUUUCUGGUCCAGCUUCAUUUCUGACUCCUCAUCAAACAGAAAACACUCACAAGUUAAAAUGUGGAGAAAACUUUUGCAAACUUAAAACGGUGCCAGAUGAUGAAUGACUAAUUACAUUCCAGCCUUACAACUUGUGUGUGCUACAAGUUAAAACUAAAUAAGCUUUAAAUAUAUUGUGUAUUUAGAUACAGUGGGUGUGGGAUUUACAGACAUACUGUUUCUGGCUGAGUGCAAACAUUGUAAGGAGUUAUCAGCUUCUUUACUAAGCGUUAGAUGAUCAUCAUUUCUCCACUUUUGCCUCUGUACAUUAAAUAUUAUGAGAUGCUACAUGUCAAAGGGCUUUUCUUUCAGUAAACUCAAUGUGAGAUUUAGAAAUGCAUUCCCUUUAAUAAACUUAAUGCAGUGUG
This is a long non-coding RNA of Acanthochromis polyacanthus (spiny chromis), 1944 nucleotides long. RefSeq lists it as uncharacterized. The record is from RefSeq and is a predicted model, not a curated record. Lineage: Eukaryota; Metazoa; Chordata; Actinopteri; Pomacentridae. The transcript is spliced from 2 exons.